GAUGAACGCUGGCGGCGUGCCUAAUACAUGCAAGUCGAGCGAACGGACGAGAAGCUUGCUUCUCUGAUGUUAGCGGCGGACGGGUGAGUAACACGUGGAUAACCUACCUAUAAGACUGGGAUAACUUCGGGAAACCGUAGCUAAUACCGGAUAAUAUUUUGAACCGCAUGGUUCAAAAGUGAAAGACGGUCUUGCUGUCACUUAUAGAUGGAUCCGCGCUGCAUUAGCUAGUUGGUAAGGUAACGGCUUACCAAGGCAACGAUGCAUAGCCGACCUGAGAGGGGGAUCGGCCACACUGGAACUGAGACACGGUCCAGACUCCUACGGGAGGCAGCAGUAGGGAAUCUUCCGCAAUGGGCGAAAGCCUGACGGAGCAACGCCGCGUGAGUGAUGAAGGUCUUCGGAUCGUAAAACUCUGUUAUUAGGGAAGAACAUAUGUGUAAGUAACUGUGCACAUCUUGACGGUACCUAAUCAGAAAGCCACGGCCAACUACGUG
This 497-nucleotide ribosomal RNA is filed under the name uncultured bacterium. RNAcentral describes it as "partial 16S ribosomal RNA". It matches the Rfam family "Bacterial small subunit ribosomal RNA", at positions 28 to 507 of the family's 1533-position model. The record is from RNAcentral.